UUCACUGAAAUGUUUUGCUAAAUGUAAGAGAGAAUACUAUGCUUUAGAGAGGUGAGCAUUUUGGAGCCAUUGUAAGAGGUAUUGAAAUUGGUGUCCUUAGUAAUCAUUUCAAGACCAAAGUCCAAUAGCCUUGUUUUAAAUUUCAGGUGUCUUACUAUGUAGUCAAAUUUGCAUGCUUUGUACAAUAUCACCUUAAAGGCAAUUCCAUCUUCCAUUUCAUUGCCUUGUACUGACUAAUCCUUCUCAGUCCCUUUUAUCUUCUUUUCAUGCUCUGCUUUGAGUGGCAGGUCCUUCUCAAAAAGAACAGGAUUAAUUCAUGUCAUCCUCUGUCAUAACUUGGAAGAGGCAUGGAUAAGGAUAUUCAACAUAUCAUGUUGAAAAGGGUCUCACGAAUUCCGCU
RNAcentral lists this small RNA (400 nucleotides) under Bos taurus (domestic cattle). The record is from RNAcentral. Lineage: Eukaryota; Metazoa; Chordata; Mammalia; Artiodactyla; Bovidae.